RNAcentral lists this ribosomal RNA (404 nucleotides) under uncultured prokaryote. Its description in RNAcentral is "bacterial SSU rRNA". It matches the Rfam family "Bacterial small subunit ribosomal RNA", at positions 355 to 776 of the family's 1533-position model. RNAcentral also lists the same sequence under 1 other name. The record is from RNAcentral.
UGGGGGAUAUUGCGCAAUGGGGGAAACCCUGACGCAGCAACGCCGCGUGAAGGAAGACGGUUUUCGGAUUGUAAACUUCUUUUAUAAGGGACGAAAUUGACGGUACCUUAUGAAUAAGCUCCGGCUAACUACGUGCCAGCAGCCGCGGUAAUACGUAGGGAGCAAGCGUUGUCCGGAUUUACUGGGUGUAAAGGGUGCGUAGGCGGCUAAGCAAGUCAGAUGUGAAAUGUAUGGGCUCAACCCAUGCACUGCAUUUGAAACUGUUUGGCUUGAGUGAAGUAGAGGUAGGCGGAAUUCCCUGUGUAGCGGUGAAAUGCGUAGAGAUAGGGAGGAACACCAGUGGCGAAGGCGGCCUACUGGGCUUUAACUGACGCUGAGGCACGAAAGCGUGGGUAGCAAACAGG